UACGAAGGGGGCUAGCGUUGCUCGGAAUUACUGGGCGUAAAGGGCUCGUAGGCGGUCUGUCGCGUCGGGAGUGAAAACUCAGGGCUUAACCCUGAGCCUGCUUCCGAUACGGGCAGACUAGAGGUAUGCAGGGGAGAACGGAAUUCCUGGUGUAGCGGCGAAAUGCGCAGAUAUCAGGAGGAACACCGGUGGCGAAGGCGGUUCUCUGGGCAUUACCUGACGCUGAGGAGCGAAAGUGUGGGGAGCGAACAGG
Molecule: ribosomal RNA, 253 nt
Filed under: uncultured bacterium
Lineage: Bacteria
Description: partial 16S ribosomal RNA
Rfam family: Bacterial small subunit ribosomal RNA
Source: RNAcentral